This 56-nucleotide ribosomal RNA is filed under the name Echinococcus canadensis. Its description in RNAcentral is "partial 5.8S ribosomal RNA". Lineage: Eukaryota; Metazoa; Platyhelminthes; Cestoda; Cyclophyllidea; Taeniidae. The record is from RNAcentral.
AACUGUGUGCGGUGGAUCACUUGGCUCGUGCGUCGAUGAAGAGAAUCCCGCGGCCA